AAGCUGGUUGGAUCAGAAAAUUUAACCUUCAAUCUUGUAUUAGGUGUGGCAGGGGAACUCAUCAGAUUAGCUUGUGAUGCUACAAAUGAUUCUCUGAUUAGUGCUGGAUACAGUGGUUAUAUUAAGGUUUGUUGCAUGUUGCUGCUGUUGCACUUUAGUUCAAUGACAGUUUAUUUCAUUUUCGCAAGAAAUAUUACAAUAUGUUCCAGUGCCUGCUAAUUAAGUGCAUCUACUUUAUGUAAUGCUAAUGUACAUUUCAUUUCAUCUUUCAUGCUCUUAUCACUGGUUAAAUGUUGUUCCUCUUCUAAUCCACCACCAAUAAUACAUGGAGUAUUGCACCUGCAGCCUUAAAUUAGCCACUGUUGAGCAUUUCUUUGCUAGUAUGGGUUAAGUUUGCUGCGCGUGACCCUAGCGUGCACGCCUAGGCCAAGGAGGAAAAGAAAGGGGGCGGAUAGAAGAGGGAGGGAGCGCCAGUGUUGUUCCUGGGACAAGGAGAGCUAGCUUGUCAACGAUGUGGAGCUGCUCCUGAUCCCUUAACCAUUCCUAAGCUAGGACGGAGCUGAUGUCCAGAGAAGGAAGGAGAUGCAGGUGCCAUUGGAUUUGGAUCCAAUGGUCUAGAAGCACGGAGAGACAAACUCUUGUAAAAAGCACACACAAUUGGAGGGGCCGUUCGUCGUGGCCACACAUGUUUUGUAGUGCCAGUAGUGCAAAUGCCCUUCCCGAAUUUUGACAACUCAAUUUCAAUCUGUCUACCUAUCACCAG
Molecule: long non-coding RNA, 763 nt
Filed under: Hordeum vulgare
Lineage: Eukaryota; Viridiplantae; Streptophyta; Magnoliopsida; Poales; Poaceae
Description: long non-coding RNA (HVUL_LNC016951)
Source: RNAcentral